RNAcentral lists this transfer RNA (31 nucleotides) under Canis lupus (wolf). Its description in RNAcentral is "partial tRNA-Ala". The record is from RNAcentral. Lineage: Eukaryota; Metazoa; Chordata; Mammalia; Carnivora; Canidae.
AUUGAUGUAAGAUAGAUUCUUGCAGCCCUUA